AUUAGUUCUUGUGUCAAAAAGAUUAAUAAAAUUUGUUUAGGAGUGAAAUGUUUUUCGUUUUUACUAAUAUCUAGUAACUUUAGAAAAAAAUCUAGUUUGUUUUGUUGAGGAUUUCUUUAUUUUAAAGAAAAUUUAUGUAUAAAAAUAUGCGUUAGGGGAUGAGCUCUAGUGCAAAUUUAUAAGGAAAAAGAUUUUUGAGUUUUUAGUAGGCUUAGAAUUGGCUAUGGAAUAGUGUUAUAAGAUAGAAAUUUAAGUUUAUGAUUUUGUUUUCUUUAAAUUAUAUAAAGUUAAGGAAAAAAUAAAAUAUAUUUGGAAAAUAUGAUAGUAUAAGUAGAUGUAAUUGAAUUUUGGAAUAAAUAAAUAAAUUUUCCAUUGUGAUUUUUAGAAUAAAUUGUUAUAAAAGAACUCGGCAAAAUAGAUUUCCGAAUGUUUAACAAAAACAUUUCCUCUCAAUUAGGUGAGGUAAGGCCUGCUCACUGAGUAUUAAAGAGCCGCAGUAUCCUGACUGUGCUAAGGUAGCAUAAUCAUUAGUCUUUUAAUUGGAGACUGGUAUGAAUGGCUAAACGAGAAAUCGACUUUUUUAUAAUAGGAAUUGAAUUUAAUUUUUUAGUGAAAAAGCUAAAAUUUUUCAGAAAGACGAGAAGACCCUAUAGAGUUUUAUAUUUUGGAGAAUUUCUUUUUAUUAGGUUUUCUUAAAAGAAUUUUUUUUAAAGUAUUUUGUUGGGGCGACAUUAAGAUAAAAGAAACUCUUUAUUUUUUGUACUUUAAUGAAAGAAUGGCAUGAUCCUUUAUAAAAGAUCAUAAGAAAAAAUUACCUUAGGGAUAACAGCGUAAUCUUUUUUGAGAGUUCUAAUCGACAAAAAGGUUUGCGACCUCGAUGUUGGACUAAAAUUUAGGCA
RNAcentral lists this ribosomal RNA (899 nucleotides) under Tetraclitella karandei. Its description in RNAcentral is "partial 16S ribosomal RNA". The stretch from base 382 to 623 matches the Rfam family "Archaeal large subunit ribosomal RNA", at positions 1786 to 2143 of the family's 2987-position model. Lineage: Eukaryota; Metazoa; Arthropoda; Thecostraca; Balanomorpha; Tetraclitidae. The record is from RNAcentral.